RNAcentral lists this non-coding RNA (27 nucleotides) under Homo sapiens (human). The record is from RNAcentral. Lineage: Eukaryota; Metazoa; Chordata; Mammalia; Primates; Hominidae.
UGCUCUCCUGGGAUGAGGCCUUGAAGC